GUGGAGGGCGCCGGCAGCUUCGCCUACUACGGCGUGUCGGCUAACCUGAUCACGUACUUGACGGGGCCGCUUGGCCACUCCAAAGCUGCGGCGGCUACGGCUGUGAACGUCUGGACCGGGACUGCCAGGCUCUUGCCACUGCUUGGCGCCUUUGUCGCCGACUCCUGGCUAGGCCGCUACCGGUCCAUCAUCCUCGCCUGCACCCUCUACGUCCUGGGUUACGGCAUGAUCACUCUAGCAUCCACGCUCCUUGCUCAGCAAUCGUCACCAACCCUCGACAACGACUCCUCUUCACGUCCUUUGUCGUUGCAGGUGGCCUUCUUCUACGCCUCCCUCUAUCUUAUCGCCUUCGCACAGGGUGCAGACAAGCCUUGUGGCCUUUCCUUUACUGCCGAUCAAUUUGACCCUGACCACCCUAGCGAAUGUGCAGCCCGCAGCUCCUUCUUCAAUUGGUGGCACUUUUCCAUAGCCGUUGGUAUAGGUAUCGCCAUUAAUGUCGUAAGCUACAUCCAAGAGAAUUUUGGUUGGGGAAUUGGUUUUGGCAUGUUGUGCACCGCAAUGAUUUGCGCCUUCGUCGUCUUCAUCCUUGGCAUUCCUACCUACCGCCUCCACAUGUCCAUCGCUGGCUCUGGUAGCCCCUUUGCCCGUCUCAGCCAUAGUUUCAUUACUCUUGCCAAUAACUCAAGCUUCUUCUUCCGCACUAAAAGACACCAGUAUGAAGAUGAAGAUGCCACAACCAACUUGGAGGAGGCACGCGGCAUGCUAAGGCUAUUGCCAAUCUGGUUUGCAUGCCUAGCAUUUGGCGUGGUGUUCGCGCAAAUAACUACACUCUUUAACAAGCAGGGUCAUACCCUUGAUCGGCGUAUCUUUGGCGUCCUAGAGCUGCCGCCAGCCACGUUGCAAACAUUCUGGCCAGCAGCCGUCCUAUUGUUUGUGCCUUUUUAUGAUCGUCUUCUAGUGCCGGCAUUGCGUUGCGUGACUGGCAUCCCAUCAGGACUGACGCUACAGCAACGAAUAGGCACAGGCAUGGCUGUGUCGCUAGCCGCCAUGUGUGUGGCGGCGUUGGUGGAGGCUCGGAGGCUAGAGACGACGCGACAACAUGAACUGGUUAACGAUGGUGGUGCGACGGUGCCGAUGAGUUGGGCAUGGCUAGUGCCACAGUACAUGAUGGUCGGGGUGGCGGAUGUGUUCGUGAUAGUCGGGAUGCAGGAGUUCUUCUAUGACCAGAUGCCUAAAGAGCUUCGUAGCCUUGGGAUAGCGCUCUACUGCAGUGUGAUUGGGGUUGGUGGCUUCAUAAGUGGCGCUCUCAUUUCACUCAUUGACCGCAUCACCCGCAGCGGUGGUGGCGACAGUUGGUUUUCUGAUAACCUCAACCGGGCCCACCUUGACUACUUCUACUGGGUGCUCGCUGGCCUCAGUGCCGCCGAGCUUGUGCUCUACAUCUACUUCGCCAGAUCCUACGUCUACAAGGACAAAAGAGACCGUGCAAAGUGA
Molecule: ribosomal RNA, 1494 nt
Filed under: Triticum aestivum (bread wheat)
Lineage: Eukaryota; Viridiplantae; Streptophyta; Magnoliopsida; Poales; Poaceae
Description: partial small subunit ribosomal RNA
Source: RNAcentral